RNAcentral lists this ribosomal RNA (497 nucleotides) under uncultured bacterium. RNAcentral describes it as "partial 16S ribosomal RNA". It matches the Rfam family "Bacterial small subunit ribosomal RNA", at positions 28 to 507 of the family's 1533-position model. The record is from RNAcentral.
GAUGAACGCUGGCGGCGUGCCUAAUACAUGCAAGUCGAGCGAACGGACGAGAAGCUUGCUUCUCUGAUGUUAGCGGCGGACGGGUGAGUAACACGUGGAUAACCUACCUAUAAGACUGGGAUAACUUCGGGAAACCGGAGCUAAUACCGGAUGAUAUUUUGAACCGCAUGGUUCAAAAGUGAAAGACGGUCUUGCUGUCACUUAUAGAUGGAUCCGCGCUGCAUUAGCUAGUUGGUAAGGUAACGGCUUACCAAGGCAACGAUGCAUAGCCGACCUGAGAGGGGGAUCGGCCACACUAGAACUGAGACACGGUCCAGACUCCUACGGGAGGCAGCAGUAGGGAAUCUUCCGCAAUGGGCGAAAGCCUGACGGAGCAACGCCGCGUGAGUGAUGAAGGUCUUCGGAUCGUAAAACUCUGUUAUUAGGGAAGAACAUAUGUGUAAGUAACUGUGCACAUCUUGACGGUACCUAAUCAGAAAGCCACGGCUAACUACGUG